AAUCAUCCGGUACUGAUUUGUAUUUGUGCCGGGAUGGAACCAAUGACGUAUAUAUAUAGCUAUAUAUAGAGGACUUCAUCCUCUCAAAACAUGCGCAACACAAGCUUCUCAGGCCAGGGCUGUACCAUCCCUCAAUUUGGGGAAACCAGAAAAAAAGAUGUUCAGAGGGAGUUGAUGCCUCAUCUGGUCAAGCCGAUUGGAAGGUCUUGAAGUUCUCUGAAUGUAGAUGGUCCUCUGACUGGAUUUAAGGUUCAGAUGCUCAGUAACAAACUCCACCAAUGAGCAAACAGGGAAGUUUUAGGUCUAUUAAAUGUUGCUAUGAAGGUAUCACUGUUUGUCUUUGUGAAUGCAAUGUGCUCUUUAAAUUGAACUUAGAAGUAAAUCCUUCCAUCUGAAAGGAUUUAGUUGCAUUAGUAACCUCAUAACAUUCUAAUUUUUAUUCUAGUCUUGAUUGGAAAUAGAAUCUCUGUAUUGAUUGAGCGUUUGUUAUGCUGAAGCAGUCACCAGUUUUUCUGGAGCGAAUGAGAAAGAGUCUUACCACAUCCUGACAUGAGGAAAAAGACUGUAUUGAAGAUGACAAUGAGAAAAACUAGCAAACAGCAGACGGCAUGCAUUCAAGGUGAGCUCUGAACAUCUGAUCUGGAACAGGAAUUCAAUAACGGCAGCAUGAGCUUCAUUUCAGUCUGUAGCUGCUGAAUUCAUGGAUGGAUCAUCUGCCACUAGAGAGGAAGACCAUCAAACUUCCACAUCAGCUGAUGGAGGUCCAAGAGUCUCACCAAACAACCUACAGAGUGAAGACCUCUAACCUGAUUGGACGGCCUCCUAUUCAGCCACAUGUGUGAACAAAUGCCUCCAAGUUGAUUUGUUUUCUAAAAUAAAUCUAGUUUGAGUCCCAA
Molecule: long non-coding RNA, 896 nt
Organism: Acanthochromis polyacanthus (spiny chromis)
Lineage: Eukaryota; Metazoa; Chordata; Actinopteri; Pomacentridae
Exons: 2
Source: RefSeq, a predicted model, not a curated record